AGUGAACGCUGGCGGUAGGCCUAACACAUGCAAGUCGAACGGCAGCACAGUAAGAGCUGGUUCUUACGGGUGGCGAGUGGCGGACGGGUGAGGAAGACAUCGGAAUCUACUUUUUCGUGGGGGAUAACGUAGGGAAACUUACGCUAAUACCGCAUACGACCUACGGGUGAAAGCAGGGGAUCUUCGGACCUUGCGCGAGUGAAUGAGCCGAUGUCGGAUUAGCUAGUUGGCGGGGUAAAGGCCCACCAAGGCGACGAUCCGUAGCUGGUCUGAGAGGAUGAUCCGCCACCCUGGAACUGAGACACGUUCCAGACUCCUACGGGAGGCAGCAGUCGGGAAUAUUGGACAAUGGGCGCAAGCCUGAUCCAGCCAUACCGCGUGGGUGAAGAAGGCCUUCGGGUUGUAAAGCCCUUUUGUUGGGAAAGAAAAGCAGCUGGUUAAUACCCCGCUGUUCUGACGGUACCCAAAGAAUAAGCACCGGCUAACUUCGUG
Molecule: ribosomal RNA, 492 nt
Filed under: uncultured bacterium
Lineage: Bacteria
Description: partial 16S ribosomal RNA
Rfam family: Bacterial small subunit ribosomal RNA
Source: RNAcentral